GCCCAGGUGGCGGAAUUGGUAGACGCGUUGGUCUCAAACACCAAUGCCUUCGGGCGUGCCGGUUCGACUCCGGCCCUGGGUACCA
Molecule: transfer RNA, 85 nt
Filed under: Fulvitalea axinellae
Lineage: Bacteria; Pseudomonadati; Bacteroidota; Cytophagia; Cytophagales; Persicobacteraceae
Also listed under: 2 other names
Description: tRNA-Leu
Rfam family: tRNA
About the family: Transfer RNA (tRNA) molecules are approximately 80 nucleotides in length. Their secondary structure includes four short double-helical elements and three loops (D, anti-codon, and T loops).
Source: RNAcentral